AUUGAACGCUGGCGGCAGGCCUAACACAUGCAAGUCGAACGGUAGCACAGAGAGCUUGCUCUCGGGUGACGAGUGGCGGACGGGUGAGUAACGUCUGGGAAACUGCCCGAUGGAGGGGGAUAACUACUGGAAACGGUAGCUAAUACCGCAUAACGUCGCAAGACCAAAGUGGGGGACCUUCGGGCCUCACACCAUCGGAUGUGCCCAGAUGGGAUUAGCUAGCAGGUGGGGUAAUGGCUCACCUAGGCGACGAUCCCUAGCUGGUCUGAGAGGAUGACAAGCCACACUGGAACUGAGACACGGUCGAGACUCCUACGGGAGGCAGCAGUGGGGAAUAUUGCACAAUGGGCGCAAGCCUGAUGCAGCCAUGCCGCGGGUAUGAAGAAGGCCUUCGGGUUGUAAAGUACUUUCAGCGGGGAGGAAGGCGGUGAAGUUAAUAGCUUCACCGAUUGACGUUACCCGCAGAAGAAGCACCGGCUAACUCCGUGCCAGCCGCCGCCGUAA
Molecule: ribosomal RNA, 504 nt
Filed under: uncultured bacterium
Lineage: Bacteria
Description: partial 16S ribosomal RNA
Rfam family: Bacterial small subunit ribosomal RNA
Source: RNAcentral